This is a non-coding RNA of Acanthosepion pharaonis, 91 nucleotides long. The record is from the annotation of a GenBank genome assembly. NCBI's taxonomy places the organism in Eukaryota, Metazoa, Mollusca, Cephalopoda, Sepiida, Sepiidae.
ACCGGUUCUCAUACGAUCACCGAAGUUAAGCAAAAUCGAGCUUGGUCAGUACCUAGAUGGGUGACAUGUUGGGAAUGCCAGGUGCUGUAAG